Molecule: ribosomal RNA, 521 nt
Filed under: uncultured bacterium
Lineage: Bacteria
Description: bacterial SSU rRNA
Rfam family: Bacterial small subunit ribosomal RNA
Source: RNAcentral
GAAACGGCUGCUAAUACCGCAUACGCCCUACGGGGGAAAGCGGGGGACCUUCGGGCCUCGCGCUAUUGGAUGAGCCUGCGUUGGAUUAGCUAGUUGGUGGGGUAAAAGCCUACCAAGGCGACGAUCCAUAGCUGGUCUGAGAGGAUGAUCAGCCACACUGGGACUGAGACACGGCCCAGACUCCUACGGGAGGCAGCAGUGGGGAAUAUUGCGCAAUGGGGGCAACCCUGACGCAGCCAUGCCGCGUGUGUGAAGAAGGCCCUAGGGUUGUAAAGCACUUUCAAUAGAGAGGAAAAGCUUGUAGUUAAUAACUGCAAGCCGUGACGUUACCUAUAGAAGAAGCACCGGCUAACUCCGUGCCAGCAGCCGCGGUAAUACGGAGGGUGCGAGCGUUAAUCGGAAUUACUGGGCGUAAAGCGCGCGUAGGCGGUGAUUUAAGUCAGAUGUGAAAGCCCCGGGCUCACCUGGGAACUGCAUUUGAUACUGGGUCACUAGAGUACGAGAGAGGGGGGUAGAAUUCC